This 253-nucleotide ribosomal RNA is filed under the name uncultured bacterium. RNAcentral's name for it is "partial 16S ribosomal RNA". It matches the Rfam family "Bacterial small subunit ribosomal RNA", at positions 524 to 776 of the family's 1533-position model. The record is from RNAcentral.
UACGUAGGGUGCAAGCGUUGUCCGGAAUUAUUGGGCGUAAAGAGCUCGUAGGCGGUCUGUCGCGUCUGCUGUGAAAACUCAGGGCUUAACCCUGAGCUUGCAGUCGAUACGGGCAGGCUAGAGUUCGGUAGGGGAGACUGGAAUUCCUGGUGUAGCGGUGAAAUGCGCAGAUAUCAGGAGGAACACCGGUGGCGAAGGCGGGUCUCUGGGCCGAUACUGACGCUGAGGAGCGAAAGCGUGGGGAGCGAACAGG